RNAcentral lists this ribosomal RNA (477 nucleotides) under uncultured Hyphomonas sp. Its description in RNAcentral is "bacterial SSU rRNA". It matches the Rfam family "Bacterial small subunit ribosomal RNA", at positions 380 to 875 of the family's 1533-position model. The record is from RNAcentral. Lineage: Bacteria; Pseudomonadati; Pseudomonadota; Alphaproteobacteria; Hyphomonadales; Hyphomonadaceae.
AGCCUGAUGCAGCCAUGCCGCGUGAAUGAUGAAGGCCUUAGGGUUGUAAAAUUCUUUCGCUAGGGAUGAUAAUGACAGUACCUAGUAAAGAAGCCCCGGCUAACUUCGUGCCAGCAGCCGCGGUAAUACGAAGGGGGCUAGCGUUGUUCGGAAUUACUGGGCGUAAAGCGCACGUAGGCGGACUUUUAAGUCAGAUGUGAAAUCCCGGGGCUCAACCUCGGAACUGCAUUUGAAACUGGAAGUCUAGAGACCAGGAGAGGUUAGCGGAAUACCGAGUGUAGAGGUGAAAUUCGUAGAUAUUCGGUGGAACACCAGUGGCGAAGGCGGCUAACUGGACUGGUACUGACGCUGAGGUGCGAAAGUGUGGGGAGCAAACAGGAUUAGAUACCCUGGUAGUCCACACCGUAAACGAUGAGAGCUAGUUGUUGGCAGGCAUGCCUGUCGGUGACGCAGCUAACGCAUUAAGCUCUCCGCCUG